Molecule: ribosomal RNA, 460 nt
Filed under: uncultured bacterium
Lineage: Bacteria
Description: partial 16S ribosomal RNA
Rfam family: Bacterial small subunit ribosomal RNA
Source: RNAcentral
CCUACGGGAGGCAGCAGUGAGGAAUAUUGGUCAAUGGACGAGAGUCUGAACCAGCCAAGUAGCGUGAAGGAUGACUGCCCUAUGGGUUGUAAACUUCUUUUAUAUGGGAAUAAAAUGUUCCACGUGUGGGAUUUUGUAUGUACCAUAUGAAUACGGAUCGGCUAACUCCGUGCCAGCAGCCGCGGUAAUACGGAGGAUCCGAGCGUUAUCCGGAUUUAUUGGGUUUAAAGGGAGCGUAGGUGGAUUGUUAAGUCAGUUGUGAAAGUUUGCGGCUCAACCGUAAAAUUGCAGUUGAAACUGGAAGUCUUGAGUACAGUAGAGGUGGGCGGAAUUCGUGGGGUAGCGGUGAAAUGCUUAGAUAUCACGAAGAACUCCGAUGGCGAAGGCAGCUCACUGGACUGCAACUGACACUGAGGCUCGAAAGUGUGGGUAUCAAACAGGAUUAGAUACCCUUGUAGUC